AGGCAGAAGCAAGGGAAGCGAGACGAGGAGGUGUCUAGUAGACAGGGCACUGGCCUUACACUCAGGAGACUGGCUUUGCUUCUGAAAUUGUCUGUGACUUUGGAUAAGGAACUGAUUGCUGCUUCACAUCAUCAAAGCCAGAAGUAGAGGGGAUAUAAGUGUGUAGCAGGAGACUCUGGAAAACCACAGAAGAACCUGAGUCCAGGAUAGGAAGAGACAGGACUGGAUAUAGAGGACUAGCAAGAAGUCAUGCUUGCUAGGCUUCUAACAGCAGGAAGAUAUAGAAGGAGAGUUGGAUAUUGGGAAACCUGUGAUGAGGAGAGUUCAGCAUGUUUUGGAAGGAGAAGUUUGGAUUUAUUAUGCAGCAGGAGUAUUGCCUUCUCAAUGUCACUUUCCCAUCUGUCUUGCUCAGCAGUGUUACAAUCUUAG
This 429-nucleotide long non-coding RNA is filed under the name Dromaius novaehollandiae (emu). RNAcentral's name for it is "lncRNA (ENSDNVG00000006284.1)". Lineage: Eukaryota; Metazoa; Chordata; Aves; Casuariiformes; Dromaiidae. The record is from RNAcentral.